Molecule: transfer RNA, 71 nt
Filed under: Lycaena phlaeas (common copper)
Lineage: Eukaryota; Metazoa; Arthropoda; Insecta; Lepidoptera; Lycaenidae
Description: tRNA-Lys
Source: RNAcentral
CAUUAGAUGACUGAAAGUAAGUAAUGGUCUCUUAAACCAAAAUAUAGUAAUUUAACAACUACUUCUAAUGA